Molecule: ribosomal RNA, 182 nt
Filed under: uncultured bacterium
Lineage: Bacteria
Description: partial 16S ribosomal RNA
Rfam family: Bacterial small subunit ribosomal RNA
Source: RNAcentral
CAUGAAGCUGGAAUCGCUAGUAAUCGCGAAUCAGCAUGUCGCGGUGAAUACGUUCCCGGGUCUUGUACACACCGCCCGUCACACCAUGGGAGUUGGUAACGCCCGAAGUCAGUGACCUAACCGAAAGGGAGGAGCUGCCGAAGGCGGGGCCGGUAACUGGGGUGAAGUCGUAACAAGGUAAC